RNAcentral lists this ribosomal RNA (253 nucleotides) under uncultured bacterium. RNAcentral describes it as "partial 16S ribosomal RNA". It matches the Rfam family "Bacterial small subunit ribosomal RNA", at positions 524 to 776 of the family's 1533-position model. The record is from RNAcentral.
UACGGAGGGAGCUAGCGUUGUUCGGAAAUACUGGGCGUAAAGCGCACGUAGGCGGCGCAGCAAGUCAGGGGUGAAAUCCCGGGGCUCAACCCCGGAACUGCCCUUGAAACUGCAGUGCUAGAAUCUUGGAGAGGCGAGUGGAAUUCCGAGUGUAGAGGUGAAAUUCGUAGAUAUUCGCAAGAACACCAGUGGCGAAGGCGGCUCACUGGCCCGGUACUGACGCUGAGGUGCGAAAGCGUGGGGAGCAAACAGG